Sus scrofa (pig) is the source of this 6953-nucleotide non-coding RNA. NCBI's taxonomy places the organism in Eukaryota, Metazoa, Chordata, Mammalia, Artiodactyla, Suidae. The record is from RefSeq and is a predicted model, not a curated record.
GUCCUGCUCACCGCCCCCAGGCCCGCCCCCGCCCAGAUGCACACGCAGACACUCACACACAGGAAGCGGAGGAGCAAGUUGGCAUUUUCACAGUGGAACGGGCCGCCCCUCUGUCUCAGGCCAGGAGAGGGGCCACCACGUGAAGCAACUCUCAGCCAGGGUAGGGAGAAUCACACUGCCCUGGCUGAGCCUCAGGUCGCUGAGUGGAUUCAACAGAACCACCCACUGCAGGGAGACACUGGGCUGCAUUAUUUAGUGGUUAUAAAUAGGAGUGGAGGGGGUGCUAUUAGCAAUUACACAUCAGGACUCAGGGCACAGGAAAGGAGGAGGCUGUGAACUUAAAGGCAAGGCAGAGGGCCAAAUGAGACAGGCCAGCAGAGGCGGAGCUCACCCCGGCUCACAGGAACUGACCGCGGCCCUUCUGCAAUGCAGGUCCAGAACCCAGUGUUUGCAAGUUUCGUCCACACCCGUCAGGGAUCAGUACGUCAAGCCUUCCUCUGGCUGGAGAACAUCCCACUGCGUGGACACCACCUCAUCUGUCCUUUCAACCCGCGGGCGGACGGACAGCUGCAUGGCUCCCACCUUCCGGCUGCUGUGAAUAACGCAGCAAGGAGCACCCUUCGUCUGCGGCCUCCUAACUGGCUUCGCGGCCCCCCCUCUGCGGCGGGAGGAGGCAGAGGUGCCCUUGGAGCGAAGUCAUCUAAUUCUCCCCCCACCCCCCACCCCCCCCACUUGAAACCAGCCUCAGACAACGCACCUUUCUGGAAGCCAGAGGCGGAGCCCGCGCCAUAUACAGAGAGGUGAUCCCUACAGCUGGGAGUUAGGGAAAUUCACGCCUGGUUUGGGAAAAAAUGUAAGAAUGUCUUGCAGCACCAACAUAGGGGUCGAGAAGAAGGCCUGAAGUGGCGUGGGAAGGGGAGGGGCGGUCAGGAGAGGUCCCAGCGGAGGCCGAGGCCGGGAUGUAUUGAUGGCCCUUUGGAUGAUUGAAGGGGCGGGCGAGGCUGAGCCUGGGGCCCCUGGGAACCAGGGCUGCAUAAGCAGUUCAGGAAGGCGGGGAGGCGUUGGCAUACGCGGAGAACGCGAAGGAUGCUCUCAGCCAAGAGCAGCCCGGGCCUGGGGGUUGGUGAGGAGCACCAUCCGAGCGGAUGCUCUCCGGUCCCCAGGGACGGUGCCUGAGGCCCUUCUGUUCUUCCCAACGUGGGAGCGCCUGCCCAUCUCCUCGUAUCCAAGUCUCAGCCACCGUCCGAGACCCAGCAACGAUUCCUGUAUGAAAGCUCUUCCUGCUGCCCUCUGAGGUUACGCGCCUCCCCGCUUUGAGACGACGCACAGGAUGCAGCAAACAUAGAUCCACAGAAGCCCAAUGGAAUGGUGUUGCAAUGAAUCUGUAAGUGUUCCCACUGGGACAGGCCAUCCCGUCGUUCCUGGGUCGGAAACAGAGACUUUCCACUGGAAAUUCCCAGAGGACCAGACCGCAGGGGCGGGGAUGUGUGUGCUGUGCCCCAUCCAGAAUGACUCACUGUGGUCACCAUAUGACCGCUUUCUACUGUGAGCUUUGGCUGACUGGAUUCUCUCGAUGCUUCUUUUUUGCCGUGGUCCCUCCCCACUGACAAAGCAAGGCUAAGUGAAGCCACAGCUGGAAACUCUGAGCUUUGCAACACAUCCGAGGGUGGAGAAGAGAACUGGAAGGGAGCAUCCCAGGGCUGUGGGAUUACCUGGUUGCUCCUCCAAAAUAAAACAGUUUCCUGCAUAUUUUCCUAGAACUGCGAGGCCAUGACAAAUGGGAAAGAAGCCUGGGCGGGUGGGGAGGCACUUUGCCCAGGGAGCAGCGAGGCUGUUGCUUUUAAACUGUGGCUACUGUAUCAGCGAAAGUCAGAGGUCCUCCCCCACCCCCCAGCAUCCUCCAAAAAUGAAUUCGCAGGUGUGACUUUUUAGGAAAUGGCUUCAUCCACACAUGACCCCUUUAAGCUUCAGCGUUCCAGCAUGAGGCGCUCUGGCUCUCCCUGCCCAUUUGUGUCCUGGGGAAUCUGACACAGAGCUUGGAGGGCUGAAGGCGCGGUGGGAGCUUGACUGUCACGGGAGCGCUAUCAAGCACUCCCUUUAGAAAUACAAACAUUCUGUUAAUUUUUCAAAAUUUAAAGUACGUCGCAUACAGCUCUGCAAAACACAGAGUACGAAUAACAACAGUGUUCCAGUGUUUUGGAAACGGCUGCAUGUGAGAAGGACAGAAAGGACAGAGAAACGGACACACUGCAGGGUGGGAGGAGCUUGGACAGGCGUUGGUGUUCAAGCAUCCUUACCCCAGGUCUUUGGUUACUCAAAACCUGGACAUAAAGCAGGAAGGUGAGUGCGCGGUCCUUUCAGCGCCACGCCGGGGUGUGGUGUAGCCGCUCCCCCGUGCGUAUGUCAAGUCUUUCUGCCCCUGCGUUCGAUGACAUCACCAUUCACUGGGGCUCGGGUUCUCAGACCUUCCGUGUUGGCCGGCAGCCUCUUUCCAGAAAAGGUGCAAGUCCUCUGUGUUUGGGAGAAAGUGUUGACUGAGAAUCAGCAUCUGGGCUGCGGAGAACAAAGAGUUGCUUCGGAGUCCUGAGAACUGCCAUUCCGGAGACACAGAUUUGGGUAAAACCCAGAGUGUUCUGGGGAAGAGACGGAGUCAGGGCCUCUAAAGACAGAAGGCCUCAAGGUUAAGUUGCCCAGAGAGAACUGGGUUGGACAUAAGAAGUUGGGAUAUUUGUCCUUAAGCAACAAUGAGCUGGUUUAGGGCAGGUGUCCCGUGAGUAUGUCGAGUUUCUGUCCGAUGCCCUGGAUGCCUUCGUUGGGGCAGUAAGUGGUCAGAAGGUCAGGUUUCAUCUGCGCUGAGAAGGCCGUGUGUCCUGCUUCCUCUGUGGCUUCCUGGCUCGUUUUGGAGGCUCUUUCAGCAACUCCGACUCCGUUCUGGUUUCCCUUUCUGCAGAGGGUAGCUCUUUGGUGCUGGUCUCAGCAUGUCAGUGAGGAGGUUGUGGUUGGACUGGCCCUGGUGUUUCUACUGCGAUUGCAAGAUGCCCUUUGGAGGUAACUGUCAGGAAACUUUGAAAAAGUAAAGGCUUAUUACUUAUAGUUUCUGGAAAUUACACUGUACUCCUGGGCCUGCCCAUCAGAUUACAGGUAGAGAGAGCACGUGUGGACCUGGGGUUCGGCUUUUAUUGGGGUCAUGGGCGGAGGCUUAGGGUUUCUUGGGCUCACGCUUUGCUGGUGGAUUUCAAACAAAGUAUAGGAAUUUGAAGAGCAGGAAGAGAAAAAGCAGGAGGCCCAAUGGUCCGUAAGUGUUGCAGCCAAGCCUGACCUCUAAGAUGAAGGAGCCUGGCGGGUGUGUGAGGGGUCGGCCUGGCUCUUAUCUUGCUGGGCCUGGCACUGUGUCAUGCAAGACAGCGGGCUUGGAAGUGGCGGCCUUGACUGGCAAUCCCAGUUAAGUCAGGCACUUGCAUUGCAAGAAAGAUUUAGAAACCCCAGCUGCCAGGGUUCCCUCCGUGGUAACUCUGAAGGCUGUGAUUUGACUGUCCGCAGGCAGAACUCAGAGGCUUGUUUCAGGAAGGCUUCCCUGAGGGCAGACCGUCCCUGCUCCUCUAAGGCCCAUCCGAGCAGGCCCUGCCUGCUCCCUGCUUCCUCAGGAGGGAGCCAGGAGCAUUGUUCUCGUCUUCGUCCUGGGCUUAUGUGAGAGGCAUGCUUUGAGCCUUCUGGACGUCGUGUUUGGUCAGUGAGGACGAGCAGGUCCUCAGAGCCUUCGCAGCUGUAGAUGAGGGUGGCAGGGCCCCACCACCUGCUCCACCAGCCACAGGAUGCCAGGACCGGCCUGGGUAGAGCUGGGCCCUGCCUGCUUUCAUCCGGACCUCUUCCGGCACACAGACACUUCUCUGGGCCGUGACGACAGGUCCGGCCUGGGUGAGCGAGGAAAGCCCGCAGAGAAUCGGAGGUUUUGUUCUUUCUGGGAAGGGAUGGUGGUUGUGGGAACAAAAGUAAGCCUCUCUGUUGAAGGCGUGGAGUAAAACUGCAAACAUUCCACCAAGGCCACCCCUCCUUGCACUGCGCGCCCAGCCCGUGGCACAGACACAGCCCAGCUCUCGUCCAGGUGACGGAACUGAGAGGCAAGGGCUGAACGCUUUUCUCUUGACUCUUUACUGUGACGUCAAGGGAGAAACUGCUCUUUGGAAAGUGGCGCUUUAGCGGAGAGCGUGAAGGAGGACGGGAGGCUUCCUCUUAGAAAGACUGCUGGCCGGUUGGGGUCCCCUUCCGGGCGGCCUCGGAGGAGGAGGAGGAGGAGGAGGAGGAGUGAGACGGGAAAGGUGGGCUCUGCGGGGCCAGACCGCCAGGUGCUGUGGGCUCGAAGGAGGUGCCAGGCUUGGGGGCUCCUGUCCGGUGCCUGUCCUUUCCUCUGGUCUCCAGGUGUCUGGGGCCGUGGUGGGCACCCUGGGCCCUCCCACACCCUCUGCCCCCCCCAAGUGGGCUGGUGGCUCUUGCCCCGGGCGACUCACAGUCUCCGGGGACCCUUCGAUGUUAAAUAAACAUAGGACCAGCCGGGCGACAGACCGGCCGUAGCAGCCCCGUGGCCGCAUGGGCGGGUGUGCUGUGCGUGCCAGGCAGGAGGCAGCAAGGACGUGGACUCCCGCCGGAGCUGGCCCUUCCCACAGGCCCCUGGCUGGGCGGUCUGUCCAUCAUCCCCCCAAGGAGCCCCCUUCCGCCAGCAGCCCCCGGCUCUGGCUUUGGCUGCUCUGUUCGCUUAAGCUUUCCCAUCUGUGUGACCAGCUGGGAAGGCCGAACUCUAACCAUAAAUGGAAACGUUUUGAGGGGGCCACAGACAACUGCCAACGACUUGGGAGAUGACUAAGCAGCCGGGGAAGGAAAGAGGUUUCGUGGCCCGGGAGCUCUGGCCCUUUGCCGAGGGCUGUCGGUGCGUGGAGGGACAGCGUGUGGCUCCCGCGACACCAGCUGCAGGUCCCCGAGCGCACCUUCUAGCAAAGCCUGGGCCGGGAGAUCCUCAGCUGGGAAAAGGAGGUCUCAUGUCUGAUCUCCUUAAAAUCAGUGGAAAGUUAAUGAAAAAGUGUUUUCUUUUUCGAAGUUACGACUGAGCGAGGUUGGCAAGGAUCAAAGCGAAGCUAUUCAUACAUGUACUUUUCAUGGUAUUUUUGUUCAGGCCACAAAACAAUCAAGCCUCCACAGAUUUGUCCAUUUAAUGAAAAACAGGCAGGAGCGAUAAUUGUUCAGUUUUUUUUCUUUUUUAAGUUUUCAGUCUAUUGCCACGAGGACUCAACUUUUUCAUUUCGAAAUGGUUUUUCUUUCUUUUUUGUUUCCUGUUUCUCCCAGUUUUCUGUGCAGAAUUAUCCACCACAGCACAGCGCUGAUACGGCCACUGAUACUUCACUCGGCAAUUUGUGUCAAAAUGAAGCGGUGACUAACGGGUGGGGAAGCUGAGGUCUUCGGGAGGGCGCGUCUCCUGUCGGGACGUGCAACGGGCCAGUGUGCGUUUGCAAGGUGGGCCCACGCGUGGCCCUCCCCGGCCGCGGGAGUCGCAGAGAGGGGCCUGGAGCUCCUUCUCCUGGCCUGAGCUUCCCUGUUGGCCUGUAGACCACGGGGGUCUCAGAACAUCAAGCCCCAGAGAGGCGUGGUGGAGGGUCGGGAAGGGAGAGCGCCCCCGGGCGGGCGGAGACCUGCCCCAGAGAGACCGUUGGUGCUGAGCUGCACAGGCCUGGGCGGCAGGCCUGGGGCUUGGACCCAGGCCCGCGGUGCGUUCACCGAGCUCUGGGCACGUGGUUCACACUGGUCCCCGGCUCCUUCCCGCUGGAUGGGCUGGGUGGGCGCUGGCCCUGGGCUGUGGGUGGAGGCGAUGGAUGCUGCCUCCAGGCCUCCUGAAACCACCUCUGUGGGACCGUCCACACGCCCUUUCCUUCAGCUGCCUGAGUGCAGGGCUCGGGGGAGGUACCCAAGGCCCCAGGGGGCAGAGCCGUUGCUGGAAGGAUCCUGACUCCCCAGCGACCCCCUGGAUCCGUUUGCUCUGAAUGACCGUGGAACAGCACUGCGCUUCUGUCUGUUACCCGCGAGUCCCCUGUCGCAGCGCUCAGCUUCCCCCGCCAGCCCAGGGCGCCCUCCACUGUCCCCCUACCUCCCAGGCUCCGGACUCUGCUGCGGCUCCGUGCACGGAGGACGCGGACGACGCUGUUGGGGUUGAAGCCUCCGCUGGGCUCGCCCUGUGGGGCCCGGUCACCAAGCGCAAGCCUCACGGACGCGGGAGGUUGGCGAGGCCUUGUCCUUGGGCAGCAGCUGCAGGUGCCCCUCCUUCGGCUGCUGGGGCCCCGCCUGCCGCGCUGCCCAGCGGAGAAGGCUCAGGGCUAGGCUGGGGACGAGGGGACCCAGGCACGCUCCAUUUGGGGGAGGAAGGUGAGGAGGAGGAGGAGGGAGGAAGUGUGUGCUUGGGCCAGAUGUGGGCCACGUGGGCGAGGAGGCUGGCGGUCCCUCUGAAGUCCUGCCAGAGGGGCGCUGGGGCCGGGGAGGACUGCGGCAGGGAGCAGCCCUGGGGACACACUGACUUUGGAAGGCCCCCGGCUCCAGGGAGUCGGGUGGCAGAGAUGAAAAGGCUUCCGCAGAGGGCGGGGCAGGGGCCGCUGCCUCGGGGCCCUUUCCCGCAGUCCUGGUCCCGCUCUCUGCCCCCUGAGCGGUGGGACCUGCGGACUGGACAUCCACGCUCGCCGGCCUGGCGCCUCGUCGAUUCGAGAGUUCACCUGGAUGUCUGUGUUCAAGCGGGGAAAAGUGUGAACCUCUUCUCCUUUACGGUAGCAUCAAAAACACGUGUGACUUAGCGGCAAAUCUGAAGACCCGAACACUGAAAACUAAAACUCGCUGCUGUCAUUCAAGAAGACCUGGGAGGUAGAGAAGUGGAUCACAGUCAUGGAGCCGGAGGCUCAGUGUUACUAAGCUUAAGAGUUGUU